GACGAACGUUGGCGGCGUGCCUAAUACAUGCAAGUCGAGCGAAGUUUUUCUGGUGCUUGCACUAGAAAAACUUAGCGGCGAACGGGUGAGUAACACGUAAAGAACCUGCCUCAUAGACUGGGACAACUAUUGGAAACGAUAGCUAAUACCGGAUAACAGUAUUUCUCGCAUGAGAGAUAUUUAAAAGUUGGUUAUGCUAACACUAUGAGAUGGCUUUGCGGUGCAUUAGCUAGUUGGUGGGGUAAAGGCCCACCAAGGCGACGAUGCAUAGCCGACCUGAGAGGGUGAUCGGCCACACUGGGACUGAGACACGGCCCAGACUCCUACGGGAGGCAGCAGUAGGGAAUCUUCCGCAAUGGGCGAAAGCCUGACGGAGCAACGCCGCGUGAGUGAAGAAGGAUUUCGGUUCGUAAAGCUCUGUUGUUAGGGAAGAAUGGAUAUGUAGUAACUAUACAUGUAAGAGACGGUACCUAACCAGAAAGCCACGGCUAACUACGUG
RNAcentral lists this ribosomal RNA (499 nucleotides) under uncultured bacterium. RNAcentral describes it as "partial 16S ribosomal RNA". It matches the Rfam family "Bacterial small subunit ribosomal RNA", at positions 28 to 507 of the family's 1533-position model. The record is from RNAcentral.